This 508-nucleotide ribosomal RNA is filed under the name uncultured bacterium. RNAcentral's name for it is "partial 16S ribosomal RNA". It matches the Rfam family "Bacterial small subunit ribosomal RNA", at positions 28 to 507 of the family's 1533-position model. The record is from RNAcentral.
GACGAACGCUGGCGGCGUGCUUAACACAUGCCAGUCGAACGGGAUAAUUUGAGAGCUUGCUCUUAGAGAAUCUAGUGGCAAACGGGUGAGUAACACGUAGACAACCUGCCGACAGGAUGGGGACAACAUUCCGAAAGGAAUGCUAAUACCGAAUGAAGCGGAGGAGAGGCAUCUCUCCUCCGUGAAAGAUGGCCUCUGAAUAUGCUAUCACCUGUCGAUGGGUCUGCGUCUGAUUAGCUAGUUGGUGAGGUAACGGCUCACCAAGGCGACGAUCAGUAGCCGGUCUGAGAGGAUGAACGGCCACAUUGGGACUGAGACACGGCCCAGACUCCUACGGGAGGCAGCAGUGGGGAAUCUUCCGCAAUGGGCGCAAGCCUGACGGAGCAACGCCGCGUGAGUGAAGAAGGUCUUCGGAUCGUAAAGCUCUGUUGACGGGGACGAACGUGCGAAGGGUGAAUAAUCCUUUGUAAUGACGGUACCUGUCGAGGAAGCCACGGCUAACUACGUG